This 441-nucleotide ribosomal RNA is filed under the name uncultured bacterium. RNAcentral describes it as "partial 16S ribosomal RNA". It matches the Rfam family "Bacterial small subunit ribosomal RNA", at positions 338 to 795 of the family's 1533-position model. The record is from RNAcentral.
CCUACGGGUGGCAGCAGUGGGGAAUAUUGCACAAUGGGGGGAACCCUGAUGCCGCGACGCCGCGUGGGUGAAGGAGUAUUUCGGUAUGUAAAGCCCUAUCAGCAGAGAAGUACAAUGACGGAACCUGACUAAGAAGCACCGGCUAAAUACGUGCAAGCAGCCGCAGUCAUACGUAUGGUGCAAGCGUUAUCCGGAUUUACUGGGUGUAAAGGGGGCGCAGGCGGCGCGUUAAGCCUGGUGGGAAAGUCCGCGGCUCAACCGCGAGACUGCAUUGGGGACUGGCCCGCUGGAGUGCCGGAGGGGUAGGCGGAAUUCCUAGUGUAGCGGUGAAAUGCGUAGAUAUUACGAGGAACAACAGUGGCGAAGGCGGCCUACUAGACGGUGACUGACGCUGAGGCUCGAAAGCGUGGGGAGCAAACAGGAUUAGAUACCCGUGUAGUC